ACCCUCGGUUCCUUCCCCACCAGAUCUGAACACUGGUCUGAGUGGUUAUAAAAGGAGGCCAAGUCCAGCUGAACGUGACUGCGAUUCUUUUGUGACACACGGGCUGUUUGAAACACAA
RNAcentral lists this small nucleolar RNA (118 nucleotides) under Echinops telfairi (small Madagascar hedgehog). Its description in RNAcentral is "Small nucleolar RNA SNORA61 (ENSETEG00000026722.1)". The record is from RNAcentral. Lineage: Eukaryota; Metazoa; Chordata; Mammalia; Afrosoricida; Tenrecidae.